RNAcentral lists this ribosomal RNA (1212 nucleotides) under Triticum aestivum (bread wheat). RNAcentral's name for it is "partial small subunit ribosomal RNA". Lineage: Eukaryota; Viridiplantae; Streptophyta; Magnoliopsida; Poales; Poaceae. The record is from RNAcentral.
AUGGAUAGGGAAAGGAAGGAGCUGAGGAAGAGGAGGACAUCGGGCCAUUUGAGGUAUCCUGAACUUAAGAGGCAGAAGCAACGUAACCCUUAUGUUGCUGCUAGAUCUACCUCUCCUGACUGCAAUUUCUGGGACAACAGACAGAAAGAGCUAUAUGAUCAGUUCUGUCAUGAGAAGAAAGUGUUUAAGCAUAGAUUUGUGGAGUGGUCAGAUAUAGCUGAUGCUGAAACAUGCCCUUUUGAUUUGUCCACUAAGUAUGAGGAUCUUGGUCUCAAAGGUCUAACCAGCAACAAUUCAUCUUGGGUUUGGAAUGAAGAGGUCGUGAGACAGUUUUAUGGCACCCUUUAUGUUGAUCCUGAUCGCAGGGAAAUGCAUUUCAUGAUAGGCUCACAGCAUUGUUUUGCUACCAAGGAAGAUCUUGAAAAGGCCUUGCUAAUUGAGCCUAGAGCUGACAGCCUUGUUUUGCACACAUGGGAUGAUUUUGAUGUUUAUUCUCUCUUUCGAGUACCUAAUCCCGACAUUGGUCUAGUUAGGGAUCUUAAAACUGAAGUUGAUCUCAUCCAAAGGAUAAAUCGACAUACAAUUUUUCCUAAAUCAGGAAAUCGAGGUGGAUGCACCACCAUGCUUCUCAAGCUUGCCUAUGCCAUUUACCACGGAAAGCAGUUUGACAUUGCUCAUUUCCUCCUCAGUGAGAUGUGUGAGGCCAUUGACACUGUAAAUCAUGCACUGCCAUAUGCACCUCUUAUAUUUUGUCUUCUUCGCCAUCUGAAGUGUGACCUUACAAACAUUGAUACCAAAUGCUGCCUCAAGAAGUACUCCCUGCACCUUGCAAGCUUGAAUCGUGAACAACGUGCUGCCUCAGCUGAGCAUGAAGUUAUAGAGGUGCAGCACCAGCAGCCCAUGUCCUAUUCUCAUCAGCUACCGCAACCAGUUAAUCCUGAACCAGUUAAUCCUGAUUCAACAGUUGCCAGCAAUGCUCAACUUUCAAAACUGAUAGAGGGGUUGCACGAGAAAGUUGUGAAAGGAUUCGAGGCAAUUGAGAAACGACUUUACACAAUGGAAGUUCUCUUCUCAGUCUUAUCUUCAGAAGUUAGUGAGAUGAAAGCUUGUAUGCUUGAUCCUUGUCAUGCGCUGAACGGCGACAAACAAAAAAGGGCACAAGCUGAAGCUCAUCAAGGUGGCGAUGGUCCUUCUGCAGCAGCUGAUCCAUAG